Molecule: non-coding RNA, 164 nt
Filed under: bovine gut metagenome
Description: Lysine riboswitch
Rfam family: Lysine riboswitch aptamer
About the family: Riboswitches are metabolite binding domains within certain messenger RNAs that serve as precision sensors for their corresponding targets.
Source: RNAcentral
AAUAGAGGAGCGGCGGACAUGAGUAGCGCGCGGGAGCCCGGCCGGGGUUAUGAUCACGCGGGAAAGGGGAAGCCGCCGAAAUGCUUCUGCCUGGCCGGGCAGGGGCGUUGGUCCCGGAGAGAACAUCUCCGUGACUGUCAUGGUUCAGGCCAUGGAGCGCUAUU